Molecule: non-coding RNA, 702 nt
Organism: Cinara cedri
Lineage: Eukaryota; Metazoa; Arthropoda; Insecta; Hemiptera; Aphididae
Source: the annotation of a GenBank genome assembly
CCCUCCCGCCGCCCCCACGCCCCCCUUUUUUUUUUCAUCGCGUACAAGCAAAUGCACACGGUCGUUUUGUAUAUAACGUACCCGAUACAAUUAGCGGGUGCCCGCGCGCGGGUCUGUGUCGAUUUUGUUUUUUGUUUUUUUUCGAAAUUGUCGGUCAAAAAUACGAAAGAGAAAGCGCGCGAUUUUCUCAACGAAAACUGUGUAAGUGUUCGGUAAGAAUCGAAAACCGCACAAACGUUUGUACAUUAAUUAGAAGUCCUAUUUGAGAUCGUAAAUGAUGUAUCGUAAAAAAUGAACCGAUUGUAUUAUCGAUUCGCCCGAACUUGUCCGACGGACGUCGCGAAAAUCGUCUCGCGUCGUCGUCGUCGUCGUCGACGAUAUUUAUCGUCGUUAUCAAAUAUAUAUGUACAUGUGUAUAUUGUAUUAUUAUUAUUAUUAUUAUUAAACUGUCAAUUAACCGAGAAACAAAAAUGAAAAAAAAAAUGUUGUAUUAUACAAUUUACGUCAGCGAAACAAUAUUAUAAUUAUUGUAAUAAAUCCACGUAUGUGGGCGUUGGUGCGGCAACGCUCGUCGAUAUAUUAUUUUUAUUAUUAUUAAAUAUACGUAUCAUUAUUAUUAUUAUUAUUAUUAUUAUUAUUAUUUUGUACAUUUUUUUUUUUUUUUAUCCAUCGACAAUAAUAAUGAAUUUAUAUUAAUAUUCA